AUUAAGAUGGCAGAUUAUUGUGUUAGAUUUAAGCUCUGGUUAGGAGCCUGAACAGGCUCUCUUAAUU
This 67-nucleotide transfer RNA is filed under the name Nierstraszella lineata. RNAcentral describes it as "tRNA-Leu". Lineage: Eukaryota; Metazoa; Mollusca; Polyplacophora; Lepidopleurida; Nierstraszellidae. The record is from RNAcentral.